GGAAGGGGAGGGACGAGGACUCCUCCAUAUCUGUGUCCACAGAGCUGCAGUUCACUCUCCCUUCAUCGGCUGUCCUCCUCCGUGCUUUCUGUCCUCAACCAGGGCCCUGAAUCCAACUUCUUUCCGGGCAAUGGCCUGGGCCUAAACCAUCCCAGCAUGCAUUGCGUCUCAGCAGGUUUCCCACGAUGGCGAUAGACUUCCGUCCAAAUCAAGGUAGAGGGGGACAAAAUGUAAAGCUUUCUAAGCCCGUCACUAAACCAUUAGCGUAAUGGAGUCUCAUAAAACAGUGUUUAAAAAUAAACAAAUUGUUCAACUUGCAAAUUCUAAGGCCUCCAGAAAGAGCGAGACUUAUUCUGGAGGCCGUUGUUUGUUUGCCACCCGACAAUAAACUGACCAGCCCGCUGAGGCGGCCUCAGAUCCACCGGCCCUGUGCUCUCUGAGGUUAAAGGUCAGCUCGACUCUAAUCGAGUGUGGUGGCGUCAACGUUUUCGCUUCCCUGUCGGAAAAAAAGAAAAGAAUCGACACAAAGCACACAACUCAUUUCCAAACUUUUGAGAUGUACCUUCUGCAGCCAUGCAACUACGCGUGUGCCCGCUGCUGCAUCGUUGUGGAAGCUCAAACAAACCUGUUUCAAUUGGUCUGAUUGGGUCAGCAGACAGUUUGAAUGACUUUGUUUCGUGGGUCAAGCCGAUUGUUUCCCACUACUUUCUGCGUUUAUUAAUGCCUGUCUUCCUUUUUCCCUUUCCUUUAGAUUUGAGUGCCGUUUUGUGCCACAGAGGGAGGGCUUUUUUGUCAGACGUGCCCCCCUUGGAAGCUGGUUUCAGAUGGUGGCUUAGAGUGUUGGCAUCUAUCUAGCACCAUUUGAAAUCAGUGUUCUUGGGGUGGGAAGUGUGUCUCCCUGGCCAGCAACAGGAAGCGUCUCCUGAGGUGAAGCACUGCUCCACAAGUGACGUUCUGACAAGUUCUCCGUCCUUUCUCCAAAGUUGACCGAUUACUUUUGGUGUUCAGAGUCUGCUUUUGUUUCUAGCACCAUUUGAAAUCGGUUACAGUGAAGGACAGAUCUCGUCUCUUCAUUUUCACGGACUGUAGGUCGAUUGGAGUUACAAAUGAAACACAAUGAAUGACAUCUAGAUUUACGUUUGCAGUGGAGGAUGAAGUAUUCUGAUCCUUUACAGAAGUAAAAGUUGCUAUACUUAUCUGUAAA
This is a non-coding RNA of Gasterosteus aculeatus aculeatus (three-spined stickleback), 1204 nucleotides long. The record is from RefSeq and is a predicted model, not a curated record. Lineage: Eukaryota; Metazoa; Chordata; Actinopteri; Perciformes; Gasterosteidae.